AACGAACGCUGGCGGCAUGCCUAACACAUGCAAGUCGAACGAGACCUUCGGGGCUAGUGGCGCACGGGUGCGUAACGCGUGGGAACCUGCCCUUAGGUUCGGAAUAACUCCCAGAAAGGGGUGCUAAUACCGGAUAAUGUCUUCGGACCAAAGAUUUAUCGCCUUUGGAUGGGCCCGCGUUGGAUUAGCUAGUUGGUAGGGUAAAAGCCUACCAAGGCGACGAUCCAUAGCUGGUCUGAGAGGAUGAUCAGCCACACUGGGACUGAGACACGGCCCAGACUCCUACGGGAGGCAGCAGUGGGGAAUAUUGGACAAUGGGCGGAAGCCUGAUCCAGCAAUGCCGCGUGAGUGAUGAAGGCCUUAGGGUUGUAAAGCUCUUUUACCCGGGAUGAUAAUGACAGUACCGGGAGAAUAAGCCCCGGCUAACUCCGUG
RNAcentral lists this ribosomal RNA (433 nucleotides) under uncultured bacterium. RNAcentral describes it as "partial 16S ribosomal RNA". It matches the Rfam family "Bacterial small subunit ribosomal RNA", at positions 29 to 507 of the family's 1533-position model. The record is from RNAcentral.